RNAcentral lists this ribosomal RNA (464 nucleotides) under uncultured bacterium. RNAcentral's name for it is "partial 16S ribosomal RNA". It matches the Rfam family "Bacterial small subunit ribosomal RNA", at positions 339 to 795 of the family's 1533-position model. The record is from RNAcentral.
CUACGGGUGGCAGCAGUGGGGAAUAUUGCACAAUGGGCGCAAGCCUGAUGCAGCCAUGCCGCGUGUAUGAAGAAGGCCUUCGGGUUGUAAAGUACUUUCAGCGGGGAGGAAGGGAGUAAAGUUAAUACCUUUGCUCAUUGACGUUACCCGCAGAAGAAGCACCGGCUAACUCCGUGCCAGCAGCCGCGGUAAUACGGAGGGUGCAAGCGUUAAUCGGAAUUACUGGGCGUAAAGCGCACGCAGGCGGUUUGUUAAGUCAGAUGUGAAAUCCCCGGGCUCAACCUGGGAACUGCAUCUGAUACUGGCAAGCUUGAGUCUCGGAGAGGGGGGUAGAAUUCCAGGUGUAGCGGUGAAAUGCGUAGAGAUCUGGAGGAAUACCGGUGGCGAAGGCGGCCCCCUGGACGAAGACUGACGCUCAGGUGCGAAAGCGUGGGGAGCAAACAGGAUUAGAUACCCUUGUACUC